AAGAAAAGACUCUUUCUUCACUCUCUGUAAGUCAGGGCUAGAAGAAACACACUGAAGCCAGAGAUCUCCAGAGAUUAUCUCCUGGUAUACCCUGAAAGACACUUUGAACUGGCAAAUUACUACAACACUAUAACUCUCAUGCUAUAGAUGGGAGGAACAGAGACAGACAGGAAGGUGGAAUGACUUUCCCCAAGAUAACACAUCAUUUAGACCCCCUUGACUUCUAGUUUGUGGCCCUAACCACGGGAUUAUGGCUGCCUCAUUAUUAUUUCUGCAUGUAAGCAGGCAUGAUGUCAUUCGCUCACUGUCCUGAAAAUGUGUGUAAUAUCAAGAAAGGAAACAGGGAAAGAAUCUGAUUUGAAACACCAUCGUUGAAUCAUUGAUUUGUAUCUGCAAAUGUAGAGUCAAGACCUGUAAGAUAACCAGUGCUUUCUGACAGAUCAGCAGAAUGGAGGCUGCUCAGCAUCUUCUGUAAUUUUCUCAGUACUAUGUAUGAUUGGUUUUUACAUCCUCAUUAACAUAAAGGAAUUAUUCUAAUUUGCAAUUCUGUACUGCACAAUUAUGACAUAACUGCUAGAGAUUAAUAGGUAGCUGGCCCAUAUAACACACUGUCAUGCAGCAGAUAUUUUGGAAGAGUGAGCAAAUAAGGAUUCACACCAGAUAACAGCACAUGUUAGCACUCAUGUCUGGCUAGGGCAACUGCUAUCCAGCAGCAGCAGCAAUACUGUACAUUCAGACCCUGAGAAGUGAUGAGUCUUUAAUUGUAUUCUUCUUCUUGAAUGCUUAGCUAGACAGUUGACCAUAGCGAUCGUUCACCAUUUGUUGCUGCACAACCGCAAAAGUUUGAUGGUCUGAGAGUCCAACAUCAGAAUGGACUUGAUGUACCCAUGCAAUAGAGGGUCUGCCGCUGGACCACCUCCACCUCUUGAUUGGUCGAGUUUUAUUCCAGAUGUUACAAGCCACCCAGGGAACAAAGCUUGCUGAAACGUCUUGUGACACCCUUCUGACAUGUCCGAAAAGCAUAAGGUGCUACUUGCAGACAAUGGUCCCAGUAGUCUGCAGACCUGAAUGACCAUAAAUAUCUGCAUUACAGAUUAACUCAUUUCACUUUAUGGGAAGCCUCCAGCUUCGUUCAGUUUGCAUGGGGUAGUGUCCAUGUUUUGCAGCCAUACAUCAGUAGGGGAAGGACUCUGUUCACAUAAAUCCUGAACUUGGUUGUUGUACUAAGCUGAUGAUGAUUCCAUAUCUGUUAUAAAUGGCCCAUGUAUUAUUACUUUAUUGUUGUAUUAAUCUUUAUUAAAUAAAAGUGACUGUACU
This is a non-coding RNA of Pelodiscus sinensis (Chinese soft-shelled turtle), 1317 nucleotides long. NCBI's taxonomy places the organism in Eukaryota, Metazoa, Chordata, Testudines, Trionychidae. The record is from RefSeq and is a predicted model, not a curated record.